This 66-nucleotide transfer RNA is filed under the name Xylosandrus sp. Its description in RNAcentral is "tRNA-Ser". Lineage: Eukaryota; Metazoa; Arthropoda; Insecta; Coleoptera; Curculionidae. The record is from RNAcentral.
GGAUUAAGGAAAUCAAGAAAAAGCUUCUAACUUUAUUCUUAAGCAGUGAAAUCUGUUUUUAAUCCU